CUAGCCGUAAACGAUGCUCACUAGGUGUAGGGAGUGAUAAACUCUCUGUGCUGAAGCGAACGCGCUAAGUGAGCCGCCUGGGGAGUACGUCCGCAAGGAUGAAACUCAAAGGAAUUGACGGGGGCCCGCACAAGCGGUGGAGCAUGUGGUUUAAUUCGAAGCAACGCGAAGAACCUUACCAGGUCUUGACAUCCCGAUGACCGCUCUAGAGAUAGAGUUUUCCCUUCGGGGACAUUGGUGACAGGUGG
This 248-nucleotide ribosomal RNA is filed under the name uncultured bacterium. RNAcentral describes it as "partial 16S ribosomal RNA". It matches the Rfam family "Bacterial small subunit ribosomal RNA", at positions 796 to 1041 of the family's 1533-position model. The record is from RNAcentral.